GACGAACGCUGGCGGCGUGCUUAACACAUGCAAGUCGAACGGAAAGGCCCUGCUUUUGUGGGGUGCUCGAGUGGCGAACGGGUGAGUAACACGUGAGUAACCUGCCCUUGACUUUGGGAUAACUUCAGGAAACUGGGGCUAAUACCGGAUAGGAGCUCCUGCUGCAUGGUGGGGGUUGGAAAGUUUCGGCGGUUGGGGAUGGACUCGCGGCUUAUCCGCUUGUUGGUGGGGUAGUGGCUUACCAAGGCUUUGACGGGUAGCCGGCCUGAGAGGGUGACCGGCGACAUUGGGACUGAGAGACGGCCCAGACUCCUACGGGAGGCAGCAGGGGGGAAUAUGGCACAAUGGGCGGAAGCCUGAGGCAGCAACGCCGCGUGCGGGAUGACGGCCUUCGGGUUGUAAACCGCUGUCGCAGGUGACGAAGCGUGAGUGACGGUAAUGGGUAAAGAAGCACCGGCUAACUACGUG
This 468-nucleotide ribosomal RNA is filed under the name uncultured bacterium. RNAcentral's name for it is "partial 16S ribosomal RNA". It matches the Rfam family "Bacterial small subunit ribosomal RNA", at positions 28 to 507 of the family's 1533-position model. The record is from RNAcentral.